Molecule: long non-coding RNA, 521 nt
Filed under: Gallus gallus (chicken)
Lineage: Eukaryota; Metazoa; Chordata; Aves; Galliformes; Phasianidae
Description: lncRNA (ENSGALG00010028640.1)
Source: RNAcentral
CCCGUGCCCUGCACCCUGCCCGCCACCUGGGAGUCGCCGAUGGAGCCCUUUCAGGACGCCGUGGUGCUCACGCAGGACCAGGGGCACCCAGCGCCCACCGACGGGUGCCCCCAUCCCGCCACGGCUCCGCUCGGCUGCAGCACCGCAGCGCUGGACUCAGGGGCAGCCACAGCGAGCGCAGACAUCCCGGAGGACGUGGCGGACAUCCAGCAUCUCCUGGCAUGGCUCAACGACGAAGUGACAUCCAAGACAGGCAUCCUGGACGACGACGCAGACAUCGAUGACCUGCUCACGUGGAUCAACAACGAAGAGACACCCAGCACCCACAGACUUGACAACGAUGAUGUGGAAAUGGACCGUUUGCUCACCUGGAUUGACGAAGCGGCUCUGGAGAGUGCUCUGGAGGUCCCCCAGCACAAGCAGGACCUGCCCGGUGUCACAAGAGAGGGGACCAAAGCCACUGCAAACAGCUGCCAAACGCAAGAGCUGAUGCAGCGCAUCACUGCCACAGAGCCACUGAG